UAUAUCGGCGGAUGAAUAUUAGCGCCGGCGCGGGUUACUACGCUGGAUUUUUCAGCAGUAUUUUCUUUUAGGAACGAGUAGUUUAGCUCGCAUCUGCGAACCACUUUUAUAAGCCCGUCGGCCAAUCUUAAUCUGCCCCCAAUCUUGCGGGAGUCAAAAAAGCAGAUACACACAUACACAUCAAGUGGCUAUUCUUUAGCUGAUUGUAAAAAUUUAAUAAAUUAUUUAAAAUUCCUUAAUUAAAGCGACGACAAUUUUCAACAUGAUUUCGACGUCUCUUUUGAAACAAUGUGUGCGUCGGUAUUGUCUCGGUGCGCGACAAACUUUAGCAGUUCGGGAUCGAAUUCGCGACAAGAGGGAGCAAGGCCAACCUGGGCGGUGGGGUCAAGAGGAUAGAAACACAGCAUAAAAAGGGAAAACUCACUGCUCGAGAACGUGCCCAUGUUCUCUGUGACCCUGCAACGUUUACAGAAUUUGACAUGUUCAUGAACACACUUGUGCAGAUUGGAGAAAUAAUAGUAUCCGGGCGAUUCCAUCGUGAUGGGGAAAGGGCUCAUCAACGGAAGGAUGACCUACAUCUUUAGCCAAGAUUUCACCGUUUUUGACGCACACGACCCUGUCCUGAGUGGCGUAUAAAGCCUUCGAAAAUGAUAUCGAUGCUCUUCUCAAUAUACGAGACCUGAUGUCCUUCCUCCCCUCGUCCAACCGUGAAGGCGCACCCAUCAUUGAAGCCGUGGAUCCUUGGGAUCGCGACGUUCCCAUUCUCGAUGGCGUCGUCCCACUCGAAUCGACACAAGCUUACGACAUGGGCGACGUCAUCCUCGGCGUGGUCGACGAUCGCGAAUUUUUCGAAAUUAUGCCCGCCUACGCCAAAAAUAUUAAGAUUGGGUUCGGCAGGAUGAACGGAAGGACGGUCGGGAUUGUCGGGAAUCAGACUAAAGUGGCAGCAGGCGUACGAUGGUGCUUACGACGUCAUGUCAUCCAAACAUUUACGCGGCGAUGUCAACUACGCCUGGCCGACGGCCGAAGUUGCCGUGAUAUCAUCGAGCCGAGAGCCACACGGAGGAGAAUUUGUCAAGAUUUGGAUGCUCUAGCCAACAAAAAAUUGACUAAUCCGUGGAAAAAAACAUGGAAAUAUUCUAUUGUAAAAUAUUUAGGAUAGAAUAAAUUCAUGACAAAUUUUAUUUUGGUUAUGAAAUAUUCUAUAGGAAAAAUUGAAU
Molecule: long non-coding RNA, 1220 nt
Organism: Folsomia candida
Lineage: Eukaryota; Metazoa; Arthropoda; Collembola; Entomobryomorpha; Isotomidae
Exons: 6
Source: RefSeq, a predicted model, not a curated record